RNAcentral lists this long non-coding RNA (439 nucleotides) under Gossypium barbadense (sea-island cotton). RNAcentral's name for it is "long non-coding RNA (GBAR_LNC003823)". Lineage: Eukaryota; Viridiplantae; Streptophyta; Magnoliopsida; Malvales; Malvaceae. The record is from RNAcentral.
UCUUAGACCACAAGUCAUCCUUCCAUGGCACCCCUUUAGCUUCUCGCUUUACUCCUAUUAAAUCCUCCUCCCAAAUCUCCACCAUUUCCAUGUCCUUAACCCCUCCUUACGACCUGCAGUCCUUUAAAUUCCAACCCAUCCAAGAAUCCUAUGUCGCUCGUGAAAUGACACGCCGUUACAUGAUGGACAUGAUUACCUAUGCUGACACCGAUGUUAUCAUCGUCGGCGCCGGCUCUGCAGGUCUCUCCUGUGCUUACGAGAUUAGCAAAAACCCCAACAUCCGUGUCGCCAUAAUUGAACAGUCUGUUAGCCCCGGUGGAGGCGCAUGGCUCGGUGGCCAACUCUUUUCAGCCAUGGUUGUGCGGAAACCGGCUCACAGAUUCCUUGACGAGCUCGGCAUCCAGUACGAUGAACAAGAAGACUACGUAGUGAUCAAGCA